GACCAUGUGACCUAACGGAUAAAGCGUCUGACUUCGAAUCAGAAGACUGAGAGUUCGAAUUUCUUCGUGGUUA
Molecule: transfer RNA, 73 nt
Filed under: Camelus bactrianus (Bactrian camel)
Lineage: Eukaryota; Metazoa; Chordata; Mammalia; Artiodactyla; Camelidae
Also listed under: 2 other names
Rfam family: tRNA
About the family: Transfer RNA (tRNA) molecules are approximately 80 nucleotides in length. Their secondary structure includes four short double-helical elements and three loops (D, anti-codon, and T loops).
Source: Rfam by way of RNAcentral